RNAcentral lists this non-coding RNA (216 nucleotides) under Streptomyces sp. NWU49. RNAcentral's name for it is "Streptomyces RNA 1601". It matches the Rfam family "Streptomyces RNA 1601". Rfam says of the family: Identified by deep sequencing of transcriptome at the end of exponential growth phase. Lineage: Bacteria; Bacillati; Actinomycetota; Actinomycetes; Kitasatosporales; Streptomycetaceae. The record is from Rfam by way of RNAcentral.
AACGACCGGUCGGACCCGUAUGCCUCACGGCCCGCGAGCCCGGCCCAUAAGUGGAGGCUUUCGAACUCCCACCUGGCCGCCCUCAGGGUGGCGGGUCACCGGUCAGGCGGCGUCGUCCCCGUGACGGCGGCCCGCCCGAAAGCGCGCCCCGCGAUCCUCGCGGCGGUGCUCCGGUAGUUCGAGGAGCCCCGCCUGUGAUCGUCCGGGGCGUUUUUG